RNAcentral lists this long non-coding RNA (223 nucleotides) under Selaginella moellendorffii. RNAcentral describes it as "long non-coding RNA (SMOE_LNC000892)". Lineage: Eukaryota; Viridiplantae; Streptophyta; Lycopodiopsida; Selaginellales; Selaginellaceae. The record is from RNAcentral.
GCCAUUGUAUGCAACACAAUUGCCUAAGAUCUCAGCAACAACACCACUCACAUUGAGAAUCCUUGCACCCUUAUCCAGGCCGUGCUGAGCUCCUCAUCCAGAGUUUCUGAGGCAGCAUAUAGUAUGAGACCAUGUAAGCCUUGCAAGGAUCCAUGCCUCACAAGUGCAGCCUCCCAAUGUGUGUCCAAGCCACUGACAUUCCUAUACUGCAUCGCAGAAGGAC